GACGAACGCUGGCGGCGUGCUUAACACAUGCCAGUCGAACGAAGAGCGAUGGGAGCUUGCUUCUAUCAAUCUUAGUGGCGAACGGGUGAGUAACGCGUAAUCAACCUGCCCUUCAGAGGGGGACAACAGUUGGAAACGACUGCUAAUACCGCAUACGAUCUAAUCUCGGCAUCGAGGAUAGAUGAAAGGUGGCCUCUACAUGUAAGCUAUCACUGAAGGAGGGGAUUGCGUCUGAUUAGCUAGUUGGAGGGGUAACGGCCCACCAAGGCGAUGAUCAGUAGCCGGUCUGAGAGGAUGAACGGCCACAUUGGGACUGAGACACGGCCCAGACUCCUACGGGAGGCAGCAGUGGGGAAUCUUCCGCAAUGGACGAAAGUCUGACGGAGCAACGCCGCGUGAGUGAUGACGGCCUUCGGGUUGUAAAGCUCUGUUAAUCGGGACGAAAGGACUUCUUGCGAACAGUUAGAAGGAUUGACGGUACCGGAAUAGAAAGCCACGGCUAACUACGUG
This 510-nucleotide ribosomal RNA is filed under the name uncultured bacterium. RNAcentral's name for it is "partial 16S ribosomal RNA". It matches the Rfam family "Bacterial small subunit ribosomal RNA", at positions 28 to 507 of the family's 1533-position model. The record is from RNAcentral.